CCUACGGGAGGCAGCAGUGGGGAAUAUUGCGCAAUGGGGGCAACCCUGACGCAGCCAUGCCGCGUGAAUGAAGAAGGCCUUCGGGUUGUAAAGUUCUUUCGGUAGCGAGGAAGGCAUUUAGUUUAAUAGACUAGGUGAUUGACGUUAACUACAGAAGAAGCACCGGCUAACUCCGUGCCAGCAGCCGCGGUAAUACGGAGGGUGCGAGCGUUAAUCGGAAUAACUGGGCGUAAAGGGCACGCAGGCGGUGACUUAAGUGAGAUGUGAAAGCCCCGAGCUUAACUUGGGAAUUGCAUUUCAUACUGGGUCGCUAGAGUACUUUAGGGAGGGGUAGAAUUCCACGUGUAGCGGUGAAAUGCGUAGAGAUGUGGAGGAAUACCGAAGGCGAAGGCAGCCCCUUGGGAAUGUACUGACGCUCAUGUGCGAAAGCGUGGGGAGCAAACAGGAUUAGAUACCCGGGUAGUC
RNAcentral lists this ribosomal RNA (465 nucleotides) under uncultured Haemophilus sp. RNAcentral's name for it is "bacterial SSU rRNA". It matches the Rfam family "Bacterial small subunit ribosomal RNA", at positions 338 to 795 of the family's 1533-position model. The record is from RNAcentral. Lineage: Bacteria; Pseudomonadati; Pseudomonadota; Gammaproteobacteria; Pasteurellales; Pasteurellaceae.